UCAUUUUUGUACAAGUGAAAUUCGUAUAAAAAGCCCAAAAUGGGAAAGAGACAAAACGGCCCAUAUCAUAACCGGGCAAAUACGAAAAAUGGUCUCUCAAAUCAAAUCUCUCUACAGUCAGAUCUGACUCCCAAUUCCAAGCGAUUAAGCGAGAGAGCGAGCUAGAGAGUCCGAGAGGGUAGAGAAUCCCUAGGUUCCGUCGCUCGCGUCUCUGAGUAGACGACAUUCGAGAAUGGAGCCCCAUGGCAAAAUACGAACUCUCAAUCAUUUUCAUUACCUUGUCCGGAACCGGAUCCGGAUCCGAACAAGGCAAUGAUUUAGGGUUUCGGAUGGUGCAAAGAGAAUGGUGAGAUCGUUGGUCUCUGCGUCAACGAUGAAGAUGACAACAAUCCAGAACGUAGCCAUGUCGCGCGGAUCAGGAUCUGUCUCAGAUUACGGUCAUGCAUUUAACUGAUCUCACUCAGCCUCAUUGACAUUCGAGUUUGGUUAUGGGAUGUUACAUUUUACAGAUGGGUUUCCUUCAAACAGUGUAGCAGUUGCUUAACCUUGUAUCACAGGCGGUGGGAAAAUGAAGGCAAAGGAUGAAAGUCAAAUGGGAAAGAGGAUUGGAGUUGAAGCACGGCUGGCAUGGUUUUUCCAAGUGUUUUCAGUCUCUUUUUUGUUUAGUUUGUUUUAGUUCUAUGAUUAAGUGUUUCGAUUUGUUUUUUUAUUUUUAUUUUUUUCAAUUUGCAGUCGAUAUUUUAAUUUCUUUUAAAAUGGAAACGUCAUUACAUGUUAGGAGUUAAAACACUGGAUGACUGAAUGGUCGGCCCCAUAAUUCCCAGUAGGUCCGAUUCCGUGUUUCAGUAUCAUCAAAUUUUCUCUAGUAUUGUUGAUGGCAUUCACCGUUACAAA
Molecule: non-coding RNA, 894 nt
Organism: Prunus avium (sweet cherry)
Lineage: Eukaryota; Viridiplantae; Streptophyta; Magnoliopsida; Rosales; Rosaceae
Source: RefSeq, a predicted model, not a curated record